CGUCACCAGGCAGGGCCCGGGUAGCCCGUGGUAACCAGGAGUCUGCGGAAGUGGAGACCGGUGGGCAGGCGGCUAAGACAGGGGACUGAAAGUUGUGGAACCACAAUUUGUGACACCAGGUGUUUUUUUGGUAAGCAGCCAUUUAUGAUUCCGGAAGAUUAAGGCAGAUAGGAAGCCCCUUCUGAGAUUGUAACAAAGCUCUCGAACAACAACCGACACCAUGGACAUAAAGCUGGACCCUUCCCGGGAUGACCUGCCUCUCAUGGCCAACACCAGCCACAUACUUGUGAAGCACUAUGUACUGGAUUUAGAUGUGGAUUUCGAAAGUCAAAUCAUUGAGGGCACCAUAGUGCUUUUCUUUGAGUCUGGGGACAGAUUCGAGAAACAGAGUGGUUCCACCAAGGACACCUGCCGAUCAGAGUCAAACGAAGCCUGCAGUUUUAGGAUGCCUGCACCCUGCCAUAGUCCUGUGACAGAUACAAGGACCUUCUCAUCUAAAACAGGAUAUAAUGAUUUUGCAAUCUGUGGUAAAGGUGAAAAAGAUACUUCUGGUAAAGAUGGUAACCAUGACAACCAGGAACAGGCUUCUGGGAUUUCUAGCUCAAAGUACCGCUGUGACACAGGGAAUCAUGGGAGUGAGGAUUUUUUGCUAGUGUUGGACUGCUGUGAUUUAUCCGUGUUGAAGGUAGAGGAGGUGGAUGUUGCUGCUGUGCCAGGUAUUGACAAAUUUACAAGGUCUCCCAAGCUCACAGUUGUUUCCGAGGAGCUCAGGAAUCAGAUUGUACAUGAACUUGUCACUCUGCCUGCAGGGCGUUGGCGGGAGCAGUUAGACUAUUAUGCUGGCUGCAGCCAGGCUCCUGGCUGUGGGGAGCUCCUGUUUGACACUGACACUUGGAGCUUACAGAUCAGGAAGACAGGGGCUCAGACAGCUACUGACUUUCCUCAUGCCAUAAGGAUAUGGUACAGCACCAAACCCCAGGGGCGAUCCGUUACAUGGACCUCAGACCAGAGCGGCAGGCCAUGUGUUUAUACUAUGGGAUCUCCCAUAAACAACAGGGCCCUUUUUCCAUGCCAGGAGCCACCCGUUGCCAUGUCAACAUGGCAGGCUACAGUUCGAACAGCUGCAUCUUUUGUUGUUUUAAUGAGUGGGGAAAAUGCUGCCAAGCCAACACAGCUUCGGGAAGGAAUUACAAUUCCUGUUUUAUAUUUUUGUUCAGUUUCAAAACAUAUUUGUAGGUGCGCAAGCUGGCAUUACUAUGUAACCAUGCCGAUGCCAGCCUCCACCUUCACGAUUGCAGUGGGCUCCUGGACAGAAAUGAAGCCAGAGCCCUGCUUGUUCAAGGAUCUGGCAGCAGAGAGAGCCCUCUCACCUUCCGAGGCUGACUUCAGGUAUGUUGGCAUUUGUGGUCACACGGAAUACCCCUGCCGCUUCCAGAAUCCUUCUGCUACCACCCAGGAAAUUAUUCCUCAUCGGGUCUUUGCCCCAGUGUGCCUCCAGGGUGCUUGUCAAGAGACCCUUCUGCAGCUGGUCCCCCCGUGCCUCUCAGCAGCACACUCCAUCCUGGGAACACACCCAUUCGCCAGGCUGGACAUCCUCAUCGUUCCUGCCAACUUCCCGAGUCUGGGGAUGGCCAGCCCACACAUCAUCUUCCUCUCUCAGAGCGUCUUGACAGGAGCGAGCCAUCUCUGUGGGACCCGGCUCUGCCAUGAAAUCGCUCACGCCUGGUUUGGCCUAGCCAUCGGGGCCCGGGACUGGACGGAGGAGUGGCUGAGUGAAGGGUUUGCCACUCACUUGGAAGACGUGUUCUGGGCUGAAGCGCAGCAGCUGGCCCCCCACGAGGCCCAGGAGCAGCAGGAGCUGAAGGCUUGUCUGCGCUGGUGUCGCCUCCAGGACGAGGUGCGGAACUCCCCGGAGGAGAUGCAGGUGUUGAGACCCAAUAAAGAGAAAACUGGCCAUGUGAGUGACUCAGGAUCAUCUGUCAUCAAACAUGGGCUCAAUCCCGAGAAGGUCUUCAUGCAGGUUCAUUAUUUAAAGGGCUAUUUCCUGCUCCGGUUCCUUGCCCAAAGACUUGGAGAUGAUACCUAUUUUGCAUUUUUAAGAAAAUUUGUGUACACAUUUCAUGGGCAGUUGAUUCUUUCCCAGGAUUUCCUUCAAAUGCUGUUGGAGAAUAUCCCAGAAGAAAAAAGGCUCAAGUUGUCUGUGGAAAACAUCUUCCGAGACUGGCUUGAGAGUUCUGGAAUACCACAGCCGCUGCAGAGGGAGCGCCAGGCCGGGGCUGAGUGCGGGCUCGCGCGGCAAGUGAGCGCCGAGGUCGAGAAAUGGAUUCGAGUGAACCGGAGACCCCGAAAACGGAAACGAAGGGAGGCUGAAGAAGUGUUUGAAAAGCUCCUUCCAGACCAGCUUGUCUUGCUUCUGGAGCAUCUCUUGGAGCAGAAGACUCUGAACCCCCGAACUCUGCAAAGCCUCGAGAGGACAUACCACCUCCCCCAACAGGAUGCAGAGGUUCGCCAUCGAUGGUGUGAACUCAUUGUUAAGCACAAAUACACAAAAGCCUACAAAGACGUGGAGAGAUUCCUCCAGGAGGAUCAGGCCAUGGGUGUGUACCUGUACGGGGAGCUGAUGCUGAGCGAAGACUCCAGGCAGCAGCAGGUCGCCCACCGGUGCUUUGAGCUGACCAAGGAGCAGAUGGAGAGAUCCUCAGCCGAGGUGGUGGCCGAGAUGUUAUUCUGAAGAGUUCGGAGAACAGACGCAUCUUGUAGCUCUUCUCCGGAAACAGAAGAAGCAACAGCCGUGGAAGACGCUCGGCGGCCCGCUCCUUACGCCCAGCCGACGACCUCUCUGCCGAGGUGCAGAGCUUAGCUGAUUGGUGAACAGUGACUGGUUUCCGCUUUGUUCACAGUGGCUAAGUUCUGCACCUGAAGAGAAGCCCCCGCAGGACGGCACCGAGCUCCCAGCUGAGGCACUGCUUCCGGGCUGUCGAUUGGACCCGCCCUCCGGUGCCUACUGAGCUGAUAUCAGUUCUCAUUUUACACACUGGCUCAGUUCAGCAGGAACAGGAGUCGAGCCCUCGAGCAAAAAGCCUUCCUGUUUGCAAGUGCCCAGAGGCUCCGGAGCUGGGACUGCGCCCACGGAAGGUCACAGCGAGAUUCUUAUGCAUCUACGCCUAGCCCUGGACAUCGCAGGAAGGGUAACGGGGCUGCUAAAGCCAGCAGCCAGCAGCAUCCACGCCUUGGUGCUUCUCUUUCCCGAGGCUGCUCUCCCUGGAGCUCAUGGACCGCGUGGUGCCUUUGUCCCCUGCCCUGAACUUGCCACCUCGAGAUAUUCAGUCUGCAUUGGAUCUCUUCUGUGAGGCGAAGGUGCUUCUUUCACACAAAUGAUGAAAGCUGCCUGAGAUGCAUUGGAAAAGCUGCUGAACAUUUUGCAUUGAUCCCCUCAGCAUAUGGCUGCACUGGAGAUUUCUAGAAUUCCAGGAAGUCAGCUUCUGUAUCCUGGGACCAGUGGAAUUCUUCUCUAGAUCAUUUCAGAAAGAUUCUGCAGGAUUAUUUUGAUUGUUGGGUGUGUUGUUCAAAUUUGUCCAAACGUUAAUACCCUUGGUAAAAAGGCAGGGUAAGAAUCCAAGACGUAUUCAUAAUAAAACAGUGGAUUACUAUUUUUGCA
RNA transcript from Zalophus californianus (California sea lion), 3658 nucleotides. It is a transcript of the gene named aminopeptidase O (putative), with no coding region annotated. The record is from RefSeq and is a predicted model, not a curated record. NCBI's taxonomy places the organism in Eukaryota, Metazoa, Chordata, Mammalia, Carnivora, Otariidae. The transcript is spliced from 20 exons.